RNAcentral lists this transfer RNA (73 nucleotides) under archaeon. Its description in RNAcentral is "tRNA-Asn". It matches the Rfam family "tRNA". Rfam says of the family: Transfer RNA (tRNA) molecules are approximately 80 nucleotides in length. Their secondary structure includes four short double-helical elements and three loops (D, anti-codon, and T loops). The record is from RNAcentral.
AACUUAGUAGCUCAACGGUUAGAGCAGUUGGCUGUUAACCAAAAGGUUACUGGUUCAAAUCCAGUCUAAGUCG